AAUUGGUAGACGCUGCGGACUUAAUUGAAUUGAGCCCUGGUAUGGAAACCUAUUAAGUGAUAGCUUUCAAAGUCAGGGAAACCCCGGAAUUCCCAAAAAUGGGCAAUCCUGAGCCAAAUCCUCUUUUCUCAAAAGAAAGGUUCAGAAAACGAAAAAAAAAAGGAUAGGUCCAGAGACUCAAUGGAAGCUGUUCUAACAAAUGGGGGCACCAGUAGAGGAAUCUCUCCACCAAAACGUCAGAAAGGAUCAAAACCUAUCUAUUUUUUACUAGAUUAGUUUACUAUAUAAACUAAUAAUAAUAUAUAUAUAUAUAUAAUUAAUAAAGGCCCGAAUCUCUAGAUGUUUUUUAUAUGAAAAAAAGAAGAAGGAUUGGUGUGAAUUCAUUCGACAUUCACCAAAAAAUCAAACUUUUCUUCAUCAAAUCAUUCACUCCAUCGUCCGAUAAACCUUUUAAAGAACUCAUCAAUCGGACAAGAAUAAAGAUAGAGUCCGCUUCUACAUGUCAAUACUGGCAACAAUGAAAUUUAUAGUAAGAGGAAAAUCCGUUGACUUUUUAAAUCGUGAGGGUUCAAGUCCCUCUAUCCCCAAACAAACCCAUUUUACUCCCAAACUCCUUAUCCUACCCUCUCUCUUUCGGUUACAAAUUUCUUUUAUGCUUCUUUUACAAAGGUAGUUGGGCCUAAAUGACUUUAUCUUCUCCCAUAUGAUAUACAAUACACGUCCAAAUUUAUAAAAGACUCCUGAUUCAAAUUACUUAACAAUCAAUAGCUUGACAAAUACUGAAACUAUGAAAGGGGUCUUCWUGGAGAUAAAAAAAAUUGAAGUACUUGUAGAAAAAUAGGUAAUCCCCCCUUUCCCUUUAAUUGACAUAGACCCCAUUUAGCGACUAAAAUAAUCAAAUGCAUAUGGAUUACUACGCUGGGAAUGGUCGGGAUA
RNAcentral lists this unclassified non-coding RNA (936 nucleotides) under Utricularia lloydii. RNAcentral's name for it is "partial contains tRNA-Leu (trnL) gene and trnL-trnF spacer region". The stretch from base 13 to 512 matches the Rfam family "Group I catalytic intron". From Rfam's summary of the family: Group I catalytic introns are large self-splicing ribozymes. They catalyse their own excision from mRNA, tRNA and rRNA precursors in a wide range of organisms. The record is from RNAcentral. Lineage: Eukaryota; Viridiplantae; Streptophyta; Magnoliopsida; Lamiales; Lentibulariaceae.